This 497-nucleotide ribosomal RNA is filed under the name uncultured bacterium. RNAcentral describes it as "partial 16S ribosomal RNA". It matches the Rfam family "Bacterial small subunit ribosomal RNA", at positions 28 to 507 of the family's 1533-position model. The record is from RNAcentral.
GAUGAACGCUGGCGGCGUGCCUAACACAUGCAAGUCGAGCGAACGGACGAGAAGCUUGCUUCUUUGAUGUUAGCGGCGGGCGGGUGAGUAACACGUGGAUAACCUACCUAUAAUACUGGGAUAACUUCGGGAAACCGGAUCUAAUACCAGAUAAUAUUUUGAACCGCAUGGUUCAAAAGUGAAAGACGGUCUUGCUGUCACUUAUAGAUGGUUCCGCGCUGGAUUAGCUAGUUGGUAAGGUAACGGCUUACCAAGGCGACGAUGCGUAGCCGACGGGAGAGGGGGAUCGGCCACACUGGAACUGGGACACGCUCCAGACUCCUACGGGAGGCCGCAGUAGGGAAUCGUAGGCAAUGGGCGAAAGCCUGACGCAGCGACGCCGCGUGAGUGAUGAAGGUCUUCGGAUCGUAAAACUCUGUUAUUGGGGAAGAACAGAUGUGUCAGUAAAUGUGGACAUAUUGACGGUACCUAAUCAGAAAGCAACGGCUAACUACGUG